RNAcentral lists this unclassified non-coding RNA (734 nucleotides) under Hevea brasiliensis (rubber tree). The record is from RNAcentral. Lineage: Eukaryota; Viridiplantae; Streptophyta; Magnoliopsida; Malpighiales; Euphorbiaceae.
GGAAGAGGUUUGAAGAGUUUGUAAUGGGGAUUGGUGGAGGAGGAGAUGAACAAAACAUUAUCCGAAGGUAGAUGCUCCAAAAAAUCUUUCUUAAGAUGCAUUUGAUUAAAUUGUGCAUGGUAAUGUAUGAGUUAUUAACCAAAGUUCUUACAAAUAGGUUGAAGAAAAUUUUGCCCAUCAUAGUUGGUCCUACAUAUGCUAUUUUUGUUUUCGGAAAGAAUAUAACAGACAAAUAGUUACUACCUAAAAGUGGUUCACUCAAUGAAAAGGACUAAAGGAAUAAAAAGGGGGUUCAUGGUUAUCAAAGUUGAUAUAAAAAAAGUUUAUGACCUAGUGAGAUGGAAUUUCCUUUUUAAAGCUCUCAUUGAUGCAAGUAUCACUCCAGAGCUUUCUCUAGUAAUUUUGAUUAUAUUUGCUCGAGCUCGACGUAGCUGUUAUGGAAUGGAGGUGCUACAAGGGGAUUUUAGUUGGAGAAAGCUCCUCGACAGGGUGAUUCACUUUCUCCUUAUCUAUUUGUUUAGGUUAUAGAGUGGUUAGCACAUGGCAAUGAGAGAGUAGUUCAAGACGAAAAUUGGAAGCCGAGUAAUAGCACAAGGGAGGGCCUUUGCUUACACAUUUGUUUUUCACAAAUGACUUAUCACUCUUUGUAAAAAGCGUCAAAUGAGUAAGAUAGCAUCCUAGAGGAGUUCUAUAAUUGCUCAAGUUAGCAAGUGAGUUUAAUUACUCAAAUUUUU